RNAcentral lists this ribosomal RNA (158 nucleotides) under Lactobacillus acidophilus. Its description in RNAcentral is "partial 16S ribosomal RNA". It matches the Rfam family "Bacterial small subunit ribosomal RNA", at positions 355 to 505 of the family's 1533-position model. The record is from RNAcentral. Lineage: Bacteria; Bacillati; Bacillota; Bacilli; Lactobacillales; Lactobacillaceae.
UAGGGAAUCUUCCACAAUGGACGCAAGUCUGAUGGAGCAACGCCGCGUGAGUGAAGAAGGUUUUCGGAUCGUAAAGCUCUGUUGUUGGUGAAGAAGGAUAGAGGUAGUAACUGGCCUUUAUUUGACGGUAAUCAACCAGAAAGUCACGGCUAACUACG